GGGGGGAACCGUCGACAGGCAGGCAACGAGCGAGACCCCUGCGUCUAGUUGCUACCAUUACUCUCUGGAGCAGUGGAGCGAAUUAGACGGACCGCCACAGUUAAUGUGGAGGAAGGAAGGGGCCACGGCAGGUCAGUAUGCCCCGAAACCCUAGGGCUACACGCGGGCUGCAAUGGUAUUGACAAUGUGUUCCGAAUCCGAAAGGAGGAGGCAAUCAUCAAACAAUAUCUCAGUUAUGACUGAGGGCUGUAACUCGCCCUCACGAAUAUGGAAUCCCUAGUAACCGCGCGUCACUACCGCGCGGUGAAUACGUCCCUGCUCCUUGCACGAAUUCGCCG
RNAcentral lists this ribosomal RNA (338 nucleotides) under uncultured Thermoprotei archaeon. RNAcentral describes it as "bacterial SSU rRNA". It matches the Rfam family "Archaeal small subunit ribosomal RNA", at positions 1013 to 1352 of the family's 1478-position model. The record is from RNAcentral. Lineage: Archaea; Thermoproteati; Thermoproteota; Thermoprotei.